RNAcentral lists this ribosomal RNA (429 nucleotides) under Actinomycetes bacterium. RNAcentral describes it as "Actinobacteria bacterium partial 16S ribosomal RNA". It matches the Rfam family "Bacterial small subunit ribosomal RNA", at positions 355 to 776 of the family's 1533-position model. The record is from RNAcentral. Lineage: Bacteria; Bacillati; Actinomycetota; Actinomycetes.
UAGGGAAUCUUCCGCAAUGGGCGAAAGCCUGACGGAGCAACGCCGCGUGAGUGAUGAGGGUCUUCGGAUCGUAAAACUCUGUUAUUAGGGAAGAACAAAUGUGUAAGUAACUAUGCACGUCUUGACGGUACCUAAUCAGAAAGCCACGGCUAACUACGUGCCAGCAGCCGCGGUAAUACGUAGGUGGCAAGCGUUAUCCGGAAUUAUUGGGCGUAAAGCGCGCGUAGGCGGUUUUUUAAGUCUGAUGUGAAAGCCCACGGCUCAACCGUGGAGGGUCAUUGGAAACUGGAAAACUUUAGUGCAGAAGAGGAAAGUGGAAUUCCAUGUGUAGCGGUGAAAUGCGCAGAGAUAUGGAGAAACACCAGUGGCGAAGGCGACUUUCUGGUCUGUAACUGACGCUGAUGUGCGAAAGCGUGGGGAUCAAACAGG